GCUGCCUUUUGCUACGGUUGGGGGAACCCGACGAGACGCGCCGUACCGGGUACGACAAGACGACGCACC
This 69-nucleotide non-coding RNA is filed under the name Streptomyces subrutilus. The record is from RNAcentral. Lineage: Bacteria; Bacillati; Actinomycetota; Actinomycetes; Kitasatosporales; Streptomycetaceae.